Molecule: long non-coding RNA, 216 nt
Organism: Lemur catta (Ring-tailed lemur)
Lineage: Eukaryota; Metazoa; Chordata; Mammalia; Primates; Lemuridae
Exons: 3
Source: RefSeq, a predicted model, not a curated record
CUCAAGGUGGACAAGAGACAUGUGGAAAGCAGCUAUAAAAUGCAGAUUCUGACUCCUACCUCACGGGAUUGUGGUGAAGAUCUCACGACAUACUGAUGCGGAUAGAGUGUGGAUCGUAGCACCAGGCGUGGCAAAGAGGGGCGAUUCAUGUUCACUGAAUGAAAGUGCCAUGUGGCCUCCCUCUCUGGGGACCCCAGUUCCUGUCCCGAUAUUGUC